UACGGAGGGAGCUAGCGUUGUUCGGAAUUACUGGGCGUAAAGCGCACGUAGGCGGCUUUGUAAGUUAGAGGUGAAAGCCCGGGGCUCAACCCCGGAAUUGCCUUUAAGACUGCAUCGCUUGAAUCCGGGAGAGGUGUGUGGAAUUCCGAGUGUAGAGGUGAAAUUCGGUAGAUAUUCGGAAGAACACCAGGUGGCGAAGGCGGCUCACUGGACCGGUAUUGACGCUGGAGGUGCG
RNAcentral lists this ribosomal RNA (235 nucleotides) under uncultured bacterium. RNAcentral describes it as "partial 16S ribosomal RNA". It matches the Rfam family "Bacterial small subunit ribosomal RNA", at positions 524 to 755 of the family's 1533-position model. The record is from RNAcentral.